Mus musculus (house mouse) is the source of this 17155-nucleotide long non-coding RNA. RefSeq annotates it as predicted gene, 26777. The transcript has 3 exons. Lineage: Eukaryota; Metazoa; Chordata; Mammalia; Rodentia; Muridae. The record is from RefSeq and is a predicted model, not a curated record.
CUAAGAGCCCUCUGACACUUUUCUGACAAAGUGCAAAAUAAGGUGGUGAGAGACAGGAUAGACAUCAUUGAGAUUCUGAUUCUGCGGAGGCCCUGAAGUCGAUGAGAGGUGAGAAGCAGGUGUGAAUAAUUCAGGCUCCAGGCAGAAGACAAGGCGGGCUAGGGCCUGUCAGGCAAAGGAAGACACACACUCGGAGCUCUGAGAUACCAAAGUAGAUGCUGCGGAGGAAGAAAUAAUUUAUUGCAAACUGGUCUUCAGUAACGAACUACAGAAAUGAUUCCUGAAAGUAUAGUCUUGCAAAGUGGUCUUUAGGAAGGCUUCCCAGAGAAAGUGGAUAAAUCUGGAGAAUAGGAGGGUAAUCCCAAAAAGGAAGAGAAGAAUAAGGAAAGGGCAGGGACAGCCAAGGCCCUCAGGAUAAUAUCUCAUGAGAGCAUGCUGGAUACUGGCAAAGACCUGGUGUGAGUUGAGACUGGCCAGACUGGGCAAGUCUAGAUACUGGAGGAUCUUAAAUGCCAGGAGCAGAGUGGACAGGGUGGUGCUUUUUGGAUGAUGUCAGGUAGGUUGACUCUUCGGAAAAUCCAAGACAGGUCAGGCUUGCGAAUGAAGCCAUCUGGGGAAUAAGGUAAAUAUUGAGAUCAUAGCAGCAUGUCCUGCCUCCCAUAUCAGCAUCAGCUUCCGUAUCAGCAUCAGCAUCACCCAGAGACACACAAGUGAAAUGAGAGGGUGUUUGUCAGUAGUUCCAGAAACCUAAGACAAGCUUGAUAUAUUUCUACUGAAGUGAAAAAGAAAAUGACCAGUGUUUUGUUUAGAGGAGAAAGAAGAGGAGGAGGAGACGCUGGAAUGUAUCGGAGUUUCCACUAGCAUUACCACUUACUCCUCUGGACUCACAGGACGAAGGGACAGAGAAGGCUGCCCCUGCACCAGUACCACCACAGAAGCCUUUCUAGGAUGACCAGUCCUCCCUCAGAUGUCAAAGACAGUACUGAGUGAGCUGAACAGAAUGUCACCACCAAGGGUUCACAAGGAUCUUGGAGCCCUCUCUGACUAUGCAUCUGGGUGAGGACUGGGAUGGGUGGGCAACAGAGGGGGUCCAGAUCAGCAUACGCCCUUGCCACUGGGGCAGGGACAGGUAAAUUCCAUGUUAACUCUUACCUAUGAGGUGGCUCCGGUCAAUUCUCAGCCUCAGUUUUCUCAGCUGCACAGUGAGGGUGCCGGCUGCCUGCAGCAUUGCUGGGAAAGAUGGGAUAAAAUACCAGGAGACAGGGGCUGGUGAGAUGGCUCAGUGGUUAAGAGCGCCAACUGCUCUUCCAAAGGUCCCGAGUUCAAAUCCCAGCAACCACAUGGUGGCACACAACCAUCCCUAAUGAAAUCUGAUGCCCUUUUCUGGAGUAUCUGAGGACAGCUACAGUGUACUUACAUAUAGUAAAUAAAUAAAUCUUUAAAAAAAAAAUACCAGGAGACAGAGAGGCUCACCCAGGGCCCUGCAAAUCUCUUCCCACAGGCACAUGCUCUUCCCACCUCAGAGGAGUAGGGCUGAAAGGGGACUUCCUAAAGCUUGCCGAAGCACAUGCAAAAGGGGCUUACCACUACUGCCAAGAACAGAGCCCAGAAUGGCUUCUCCAGCCACAUCAAACAUUACUAAGGGCAGAGUGCCUUGCCCCACGGCUGAAUGGCUGCCUCUUUCAGAGCUUCUGCUAAGCUGGCCACUCUAGGUUCACUACCUUUAAGAGGCAGGCCCUCUCAGAAGCCUCUUAUCAGGUCUGCUUUAGUGUGAGAAGUCCAGAAGACAGGUUAGAGAACCUGGCAUGAAACCCUCCCCUCCCACCAUACCUGUCUGCUCUGAGCAGGAAAAAAAGCUGGAAGCACAGACCAUCUGUGAGCACACAACACACAGUGCUGACAUAGGAUCUCAGCAUCCUUAUCCCUUGAGAAGGCUAUGUCAUUGCCCCUCAACAGUGAUGAGAUCCAUGCAGAGGUUGGCAGCCACCCACUGUCAGAGAGCCACCUUCAACAUACCAGUUGUCUCUAAGGAAAAGGUGAAUGCUGAGCUACUGGAAACCACUGCAGAUGGGAAGGUCUGGCUCUCUGAAAGGAUUUCAGUUGAUCUCUCUGUCUCUGUCUGUCUCUGCCUCUGUCUGUCUGUCUGUCUCUGUCUCUCUCUGUAUGCUACACAAGCAUGCAUAAAAACACAUCCCAUGCAUGCAACACCAUGGUGCAUAUGUGGAGGCCAGAGGACAACGUUUGAAGAGUCAGUUCUCUCUAGUUUGAGGCAGGGGCUCUGAGUUUUGCAGCUGAGCUGCGUACUUCAGGCCUCCAGCUUCCCAGUGAAGCUGCUUCCCAUCUCACUGAAGAAGAGCUGGGAUCGCUCAUCCCACUCUUUGACUUGGAUUCCAGGUUACUGGACUUGUUCAGCAAGUCCUUUGACCAACCGAGUCAUCUCCUUGGCCCCUUGUUUAUUCUUUUCUUUUUCACACGUAUUAAUUUGGCAGGGGUUGGGGCCCCUGCACAUGCCGUGGUCGUGACAUGCAGAAGUCAGAGAAGACAACAUGUAGGAGUUGGUUCUCUUCCCACCAUGUGAGUCCUGAAGAAUGGAACUCCAAUCAUGCAUUGCAGUGGCAAAUGUCCAUGCUCACUGAGCCAUCUUGCCUCAUAGCACAGUGCUUAGAACAGUGGUAUAGUAAUGGCUCACAAAGCAUGCUUAUCAAAUAGUUGUCAGUGAAAAACAAAUGGAGCAAAAAAGGCAUGGACCGUUGGUACAUCUACCUCCCUAAGCCAAACACUUGAAGGAGGAGUACAGGACUAGAGGCCAGAGGACGACUCGUUAUAGGGACAGGGGCAAGUGAGGGUAAUGAGUCCCCUAACUGCUUCUUUUAGAGCAGCUAGCUCUGUCCUCCAAUCAAGAGUUGAGAGGUUAAAUUAUGUUGUCCCAUGAGGAGGGAGUAAGAAAACUUUCAGGGUACCAGGAGAGUGGGAUAUUGCUGUGACAGACCUGACCCGUGUUGUUUUGGGGAGGAUUGUGAAGAAUUUUGGAACUUGUGCACUAGAAAGCCACUGAGGGUUGACUUGUCUGUAGGGGCUUAGAGAGUGAGAAUGUUGAGAGCAGAACAGAUGGCCGAGGCCUAGCUUGUGAGGUUUCAGAGGGAAGCAAAGACUCUAUGGGGGCCAUUGGUGUGAAGAAUCUAUGGUUCUGGUUAGUGGGAGCUGAAGAAUCAGCUGUGGUGAACAAGGGACCUGAACUGUGGUAAAGUAAAACCUUUGUUUUUCUGGGACAAUGGAUGCUGCUCAGCUAGGGCUGAAGAAUCAGCUGUGAAUAGCAAGAGACCAGCAUCAUUGGGGUGAGGCCUUUCUGGGAAGUGAUACCUCAGGGUCAGCACACAGAAGCUGUGUUCCAGAAGACGUCAAGGUUGUACUUCCUACUGGCACCCAGACUUGGUAGUGUAAGAGUCUCCCAGGGAGUCCUGGCUUUAAAGGCAUGAAGGAGACAUGGAGAACAGCUGAGGCUUGGCACCGCGAGGUCAGAGAGGCCAUUGGCAAAGGUGUAGCCUCAGUGGCAGUGGAAACCCAGGACUGAAGGGGUCACACAGAGAAAAUGAGGUUUGACAUUGGUCUCUCCAUGAAGGGAGACGAAGAGAGGUUACUGGUCAAAGUGCAGCCCAGGUGCAGCAGAAGACCCCAACAUUUCGGAGAUGCCAGUACCAUGGGAUGCCCACCAAGAACAGCAACAGCUGUGGCAGGGAGGAGACCCCUAGAGCCUAGAGGACAAGCUGUGUGUGCUGCAGAAGGGAGAGCUAUAGAAGUGACCCAAGCCCCUUGGAGAAGCCCAGAAGACCGUGAGUCCAGGACAUUGGACGUUGAAUUAUUUACAGUUGGAGUGUGGUUUUGCUUUGUUCAGACUCUGACUGUACGCUGAUUCUUCCCCCUUGAAGUAAGAAAGUAUUUAGCUUAUUAUUUUAUAGGAGCCCACAGUUGAGAAAUGCUGAAUUUUUAAAAGAGAUUUUAGAUUUUUAAAAGAGACUUUGGAUUUUCACAGAGACUGGACCUAUUUAUUUAUUUAUUUAUUAUAUGUAAGUAGCUGUCUUCAGACACACCACAAGAGGGCAUCAGAUCCCAUUAUGGAUAGUUGUGAGUCAUCACGUGGUUGCUCGGAUUUGAACUCACGAUCUUCAGAAGAGCAGUUGGCGCUCUUAACCACUGAGCCAUCUCUCCAGCCCCAAGACUGGACUUUUAAAGUGUUUGAAUUAGUAAAGACUGUAGGACUUUUAAGUUUGUAAUUUUUUUUUUUUUUACAUUUGUGAUAUUUACUAAUCUGAGGUCUUGGGGAUGAACCAAGAAUAGGAUAGGUUAGGUCUUAGAAAAUAUUGUGUGUCAAGUUGACAAGGAACAGUUGUGCUAGUUAAUUUGAUGUCAACUUGACACAGGCUGUUCAUCUGAGAGCAGGGAACCCUAACUGAAAAAAAAAAAAAAUGCUUCUGUAAGAUGAGGGCUGUAGGCAAGCUGAUUGAGCACUUUCUUAAUUAUGAUUGAUGGGGGAGAACCCAGCCCACUGCGGGUGGUGCCAUCCCUGGGCUGGUGGUCCCGGGUUCUUUCUAUAAGAAAGCAGCCUGAGCAAGCCAUGAGGAAGAAGCCAGAAAGCAGCACCCAUCCAGGACCUCUGCAUCAGGUCCUGCCUCCAGGUUCCUGCCCUGUUUGGGUUCCUAACCUGAUUUCCUUCAGUGAUAAACAGUGAUGUGGAAGUGUAAGCCUGAUAAACCCUUUCCUCCCCAGCUUGCGUUGGUCAUGGUCCUUGAUCAUAGCAAUUGUAACCCAACUAAGACAAGUCCUAAUCAAAGUUAGAGAAAGGGGCUGUGAGAUGGCUCAUCGGUUAAGAGCACUAACUGCUCUUCCGAAGGUCCUGAGUUCAAAUCCCAGCAACCACAUGGUGGCUCACAACCACCCGUAAUGAAAUCUGAUGCCCUCUUCUGGUGUGUCAGAAGACAGCUAUAGUGUACUUACUUAUAAUAAUAAAUCUUUUUUUAAAAAAAGUUAGAGAAAGAAUGACCUCCAUUCUGGUGCUCAACUCAUGGAACAAUAAAACAGCUGUGAAAUGAGCCAGCUGUUGCAUUGGGAUUAAUUUGGAUGCAGAGGUUUUGAGCUAAUUAGAAAUGUGUCAAAAUAUUCUUUAGUGACAGCAAAGGAUGCAUUUUAAAAAGAAAUGCAUUAAUAAAGCCAGUAAUCAGUAGAACCAGUCCUAGAGACAAAGUCCUUCUUAAAACCCCCCAUCAUCCUAACUCUACCUUCUCCUUUGCCUCUUUCCCACAGCCUGUAGAGAACUAAGUGACCAAGAUUCUUACAGGAGACCACAUGGCCCAUCAGAAUGCCCAACCAGGAGCUUUCUGUAAUGUAUUGUGCGUUUCUAGUACAGUGCUGACACUCUCAACAUAUGUACUAAAUAUCUAGAUUUGGUAAUUGAGCAAAUAAAAGAAUAGGGACAGUCUGGCUAGCCACGUGCCACCAUUUUCUAUCUCAUAACAAUGUCAAGUAGCCUUUUGAGAUGGUGUAUCCAGUGUCUUCUUUCCUGUUGUGGUAGCAUUUCUAGACUCUUCCUUUCUUCCUUGAGUACUUACCAUGCCAGUCCUAGAGAAUACAAAAGUGAAUAAAAUUUGGUUCUAGCCCCUGAGAGGCCCCUGAAUGAACAGCAGGAAAAGGCACAUAAUCAUAAGAUGAUACGGAUCGAUAAAAGCACAGAGGAGCACCGUCACUAUCCUGAAGUCGUUUGGGAGCUGAGCCUUGGAUGGCAGACUUGCUGUGUCUGGGAGCACAGGAAAUGGUAUACAUGAGUUUACUUUACCAUGGUAAGGACAGUGGUGGUGAUGCCAUGGGCAAGGGACAAUCCUCUGUACCCUAAUAAAUCUGUACGUGUUCAGGAAAGACAAACACACCAGUGUGACAUUAGCAGCUUAUGAGGUAUAGUGAGUAGACUGAAGACUACUGAUUGAGGAUCACAGUAACACUGUAGCCUUCCCAGCAAUGUGUCUAGCCUGGAUUAGGGCAGUGACUGUGGCUAGAGCAGGACAGAAAGAGGGGAGAUGCAAAAGAUUUGCCCAUGGGUGGUGGGUAAGAGAGAGGAUUUCAGAAUAACAUAAAUUUCCUGCCUACUAGAGACGUCCUCUGGUUUAAGGGGAUCGUGAACUGAAAUGAAUUCAGGAGGGAGGGCUGAGAAGUAUCUUCAGUUGAACCUGCGCUCUCUGGGGCUAUCUAAUCUCUGGAAGAAUGCGUGAAUCAGUCAGGUAGAGAUGAAAACUCAGAAGCCUAAGAGACAAACUCAGCACAGAGUGGUUAUCACGUACCCAGCACCCAGGCAUGCACAGAGGCCACACACAUCACACAGUCACAAAGUAUUGGGUGCCUACUAUGUACCUAGGCAUGAGGAGAAGCCAUGCACAUCACAAACGAUGGCUUCUGGAUCCCUGAGUGAGGAUGAAGGACUGUCAUUUUUUCCUAUGUCUGUCAUGCUCUGGAUGAAGGCUCUUAGGAAUACUUAUUUAUCAGGGCUCUUAUCAGUUGGAACAUGGAAAGAGCUGCUAGCCUUUGGCCUUACAAACUUUAGUUCAGGGUCAAAGGGAUCGGGCCUGAGACGAAAGCGAAUGCAAGGUGAAGAAGCCCAGACUCCUGGCCUGCAUUCAUUUAGUCCAAUGGCACCUGUCUUCAUAAAGCUCAAAAGCAGAAAUUAUGGGGAUACUCUGGGCUUGGUAUAUACUUUGGAGCUCUCAUCUAGCCAAGAUUGCCAAGGUAUUCUGAAGUAUAAUUUCUAUUCCCCUACAGGAAGAUGAUGAUAAUGCGGGAGGUGUGUAACACCAGACCCAUGCUGCCUGAGAAUUCAGCAUUCAGAGAAAGUGAGGGUUUUACAAGCCAGUGUUUACAGUUGUGCAUGUCCUCUCUCACUGGAGCCACCUCCAAAGCCAUCAGAAGGCUCAUCAGUCUGGUUUGGAUGCUGAAAUUGCUCACAGUGUCUGGAGCUGAUGCCAGAGCAAAAAAAGACUUUUAAAAAGCAUCAUCCCGUUUUAUCAGCAUAUAAGUAGUUAUAAACCGUGGGGUGUCUCCUCAGGGUAGGUGGUGAUAAACAGCUAGCUGGGCUGGCUGUCGGGACUCGGGGCAUGAAGCUCAGAAGCAGCAGCCGCAGCUAUUUCUAUUCAUGUCUUCUCAUCACUCUCGGCAUCACUGCCCUGUGUCCAUUCUCAGGCUGUCCUUAGUCCACAUGGACACUUCUCUCUCAUCCCCAACAAGAAAAUGCCCGCCUCUGCUUCCCACACCCACAGGCUGUAGUUCUUAGUGGAGGUGCUAUGCCUCUGCAUGGCCCCAGAUCUCAGCCUGCAGUCCAACAAAAGAGGCAGACAAGAGUCUGUUGUUGUUGUAGUUGUUGUCUCUGUCCCCUCCAAGUGCCUGUGUGUAUGGAUAUAUGUGCAGAAAUAUAUGCGGUCUGUUUACUAAAAUUGGACUUCAUACCUUUUCUUAAAUAACUGAUUUCUUUCCUGUAAUUACUAGUUAUUAGUAACACACAAUUGUUCACUAGAGAAAAAAAUAAAAUCUGUAUCUAAUUGUAUUUCCUUCUAUCUCUGAAUCAUUUAUCUUUACAAAGACCACUACCUAAAAGUGGAGGGAGCUGUAGCAAUUGGGAAGUGGGACACCUGCCAUCACCAACCUGGUCAUCCUGGAGAAGUAACACACUUGGGCCUCUUGCAUUUAAAAUGGGACUUUGUUGGUGGGUGUUAAUGCACACUGGUGAUCUCAGCACUUGAGAGGCUGAGACAGGAGGACAGCUGUGACUCUAAAACUAGCCCCACCCCACCCCCACCCUCCAAAAGGGAAGGUUUAGAAAGAUGGCUCACCAGUUAGCAGUAAUAUUGUUCUUGCAAAGGACCCAGGUUAAAAUCCCUGCCAGGCAGUGGUGGCGCACGCCUUUAAUCCCAACACUUGGCAGGCAGAGGCAGGUGGAUUUCUGAGUUCCAGGCCAGCCUGGUCUAUGGAGUAAGUUCCAGGACAGCCAGGGCUACACAGAGAAACCCUGCCCUGAAACCACCCCCCCACACACAAAAAAAAGUAAAAUCCCAGCACCCACAACUAUCUGUAGAGUGCAUUCCUACAUGAAAUAAGUCUUUAAAAGAAGAGCAGUUCUUUGUCUCAAGUGCACUUAAAAUGGCCUUUCUAGGACUGGCAUUUUAAGAUUUCACUUGCUUAGUAUUUAAACGAUUUCCUGUCCUGGAAAGAAUUACUAGCACUAAUCUAGAAUGCACUUUUCUUUGUCCUUUGAUUUCCCCCAACAUCUUACACAUACACACACACACACACACACACACACACACACACACACACACACCUGGAUGAUUUAUAAUAUUCUACUUGAUCAAGAAUCUGGAACCUGAGAUGGGAAGAUUAAGAUUUUCAGUGGUUAAAGUGGUUAAAUGUAAUCAAGAGAGCUGGAUUUCAGAGCUCCAGAUUCCACAUAAAUGCCAGAUGGGGCAUGGCAGCUUGCCUGUAAUUCUAGUGUUGGAAGGAACUGGGAUCCCUGGAGCAAGCCCCGGAGUUCUGGGUUUGAGAGACUCUGCCUGGAAGAACAAGGUGGAACACUGAAGAAGAUUCCCAGUAUCAACCUUGCACCUUGACAUGCAUGUGUAGAGAUAUCUGUGUGAACCUGCACAUAUGUGAACACAAAUACUCAUGAAAAAAAAAAGAAGAAGAAGAAAAAUAAGAACUUGACAUCUUUCAGAUUAUACCAGACCUAGAAAGGAGAUACUGGACAAAAAAUAAUAAUAAUAAUUCAGAAAUUGGGGUGUUCAGGGAUGGCUCUGAGGAGGACACCUGGGGAUGGGAAUGGGAGCAAGUCUUGCACUGCAUAUACUUUUGUGCCUUUUUUCCCUUUCAGUUCCCGGAGAACAGGAGCCCAGUGAUGGGACUGGACCCCUGCUGGACCAUCCCCACUCUCCAGCCUGGAGUUGGCCUGGAGACGUUUGAUGGAUGCACACUGCUACUGGCUACUUGGCUGCAGGCACUCUACUGGGCUAUCAUGCCGCACAGGGAUUCUACUGAGGCACUCUAGCAAAGGGCUGCCUCUCCACAGCUCCUGGACAAGCAGAGUCAGCAAAGGAGAAGCAUACCAACCAUAAAUUCACCGGCCCCUACUAUUUCCUCUCGAAGGCAGAUUGCCUCUUUUUUGCUUUGUUUUCUGAUGAUGUGACAUGAAGAUGUAAGUAUAAAAGAAAAAGAGGUACUAGAGCUAAAGUUGACUGGGGAGAAGGAGAAAGGUUCUAUUUUCCCUGGCCGCAGCCUGCAGUGCGUGGCUCCAUUGACAGAGCCAGGUUGCUGCAUCUCAGACCAACUUCUGUGCCUGUCACCCCCACCCUCCACCUGUAUUGGCGCCCCAUCCGUUUUCCUAAUUAUUGAGCCCUUACCCAGCCUCCUCCUUCUGUCUUCUUUCCUUACCCAGCCUCCUCCUUCUGUCUCCUUUCCUUACUAUAGCCUUAGAUGGCAAUGGCCAUCACUUUUCUGUCCUUGUCUUUCUUUGUCCUACUCUGAUUUCUUUGGUGCCGCUUAUUGCACAGGCACAUGGCCAAGAAACAGCUGCCAUCACUGAGGUCCGUUUCCCAGUCUGGAACUGUCAUUAGUCCACAGCUGAGACUGUUCAAGGGCCCAGAAUCCAUAUUCAAUCUGGAGUGUCCUGGUAGCGAUGAACCCGCUGGUUCCAGAGCCUGUCACUGCAGUGAGUGGACUCUCGGCUGUCUCACCAACUGCACACAAGCCCGAGAGGGCCUAGGCUGUCCUCCCUCCCCCCCCAAGGAGGCUGUGGGGAAUGAGGGCAGGAGGACAAAAAGCUAUGACAAUCAGACAAGCAGCAGCAGACGGGGAUGAGUAUGUGCCAGCGCAGACGCAGACCACAAAGGCACAAGCAGAGAUGGAAAGAUAGAGGACACAGGAAAAACAGCUUCAGGGAGAGACAAAGCAGAGAGCAAAACCCAAUAAAAGUGUAAAGAGCACUAAAGCCAGACAAGCCUGGGGAGAGACCGUGGAGUCAGGUCAACGAGGAGGGCAGGAGGCGCUGGAGUGGCGCUGGAGGCAAGAGCGUUGGAGCAACAUAAAUCUGUUGGGAAGGGUCACUCACCUUCCAAGCUGUUGUGCUUAUUGGCUACAGCAAGCAGAAUCUAUUUAAAACAGACCAGGCACUUUGCCUUAUUCUGUUUCCCUGCCCAGAAAAGGCUGGAGCCAAAGGCUGAGGGAACCAGUCCAGCAGCCACCACAGGUUGAGCGGGAAGAACCCACCCUAUCUCCAAUGACCUCUCCUUUCAUCUCGCUGCCACCCCUAAGCCACCAGGUCACACUCAACUGUUAGCAUACUGAACACAGCCUCCGAGCCUCCAAAACUUCCUUCAAGCUUGUCAGAAGGCAGACGCUGCUCAACUGUGAGGGCUGUUGUAAGGCCACACUCAGGAGGGCUGUUUGACAGCAGGCAUGUUUUAGAGGAGUGAGGGAUUGGGGUGGUCAUAUGGAGGAGAGGAUGCCAGGGAACUGAGAAGACACCAGCAGCGCCACUCCCUUCCCUAAACUGUGUGUGAGUGUCUUCAGAAGUGUCAACUUGAAGCUGACCCCUAACCACCUACCACAGGGGAAGUGCAAAGUUCAGGAGGUGGAAAUGGCCACAGAAAGUCAUACCUGCUUCCUUCCCUCCUGGGGGAGGUGGGAAGAGAACCCCCCCCCCUUCCUGGGCUCUAUGGCCAGGCUGGGAAUAUGGCUCAGUAAGGUUGUAUGAGAUUUAUGUGUGUAGACCUUACUGUACAAAUCAGUUUGCCUGAGAAAUUGGCUUUUCAAAAUAAAUUUGAGGUCAACCCUAUGUUCAAAGAGAAGGAUGGCUUGGGAAAGUGAAGUUAUCCCAGCUCGUGUUUGUAAUUUUUCUUUUUUCUUUUUAUGAUUUUUCAGACAGGGCUUCUCUGUGUAGCCCAGGCUGUUCUGGAACGUGAUCACUCUGUAAACCGGGCUUGGCCUGGAACUCAGAGAUCUGCCUACCUCUGCCUUCCAGGUGCUGGGAUUAAAGGAGUGCACCACUACCGGUUAGCAUGUUUGUAAAUUGAAUCAGAAUGUCUAGUUUUGAAGACCAGGAGAGGACCCUGUGUAGAGACUCGCCUGUAUCUUGGUUUUAGGUUUCAGGGGCUAAGCAUCACUUAGCAGGAAUAUAAGUGGAUGUGCUAUGGGAACUACUACUAAAGAAUGUAGGGAAUUUAGUGGAAAAUUUCAAACAUAUACAGAAUAGGAGGAGCUGGAGAGAUGUUUCAGUGAUUAAGAGCAUUGGCUGUUCUUCCAGAGGACCUGGUUCCAUUUCCAGCACUCAAUGGUGGCUUAUAACCCUUUGUAACUCCAGUUCCCAGGCAUCUGAAGCCCUCUUCUCUCCUCUGCAGGUACCAGGCAUACACAUGGCACACACACAUAUGUGUAAGAAAACACCCAUAAAAAAUUCUAUUCUAUGUGCACAUAGCACCUAUUUGUAGUUAAUAACUUACUAAAAUCAAACUUCAUGAACUGUUCUAUAAUCCCUAAGUGUAGAGAAAUGCUUAGACUCCACUACCAAAUCCUCAGCAACUCUGACUCAGACUUACAGUCUUAGUGACCUCAGCUUGGUGAAUACAUAAUCUUCUGGUCCCUAGAGGUUUGUAACACAAGGACGGUUAAAACUCUUCCUGUUGCCGGGCAAUCCCAGCACUCGGGAGGCAGAGGCAGGCAGAUUUCAGAGUUCGAGGCCAGCCUGGUCUGCAGAGUGAGUUCCAGGACAGCCAGGGCUAUACAGAGAAACCCUCUCUUGAAAAACAAAACAAAACAAAAAAAAAACAAACAAACAAACAAAAAAAACCUCUUCCUGUCCCCUUUUAAAAACCAUACUAGGGAUUGAACCCGGGGCUUCAUGCUAGGCAAGUUCUCUGUCCCUGAGCUAUGUUGCCAAUCUUUAUUAAUUUUUUUUAAUAUUCUUUUAAGAGAGGGUCUUGGUAUGUGGCCCUGGCUGGCUUGGGACUUGCUUAGUAGACAGGGGGAUUCCCAAACGCUGGGACUACUGACACACAACAGGCUGGCCUAAAUUCUAGCCCGUGACAGUUAUAUGGGCAUACACAUCUGUCAAAAUUCAUCAAGCUAUAUCCUUCAAAUGUAUGUCUUCUUCGAAUGUAUGUAUGGCACCUACACUGCACUUCAAUAGGGUAUUAACAAUAACCCCCAGUUCUGUGUACAAGCGAGUCAAAGCACCGCUGGUGUGAGGUGUGCUGGGCAGUCCAGAGGAAGCUGCUGUUUUGAGAGAACAAUGCUCUUUGGGCUUUCGCAAAACUUGUUCUUUGGAACCUGCCACCACAGCAUGUGCUUUUGGUUAAGCAUUCCACAGCUGAAACGCAAUUCUAUGCUUAAAUGCCGAGAGGAUGAGGCAAAAUCUUGGCCAAGGUCAAGCUCUACUGAUGGCUGGAGAGGGGGGCGGCAGCUAAGUGCUCUGCACUUGUGCAACAUUUCAAAAAGAAAAGCUAACCCCAAGCCAUCAUCUGCUCAUUUUCUGAGCCAACUCUGGUCCUGCUCAUUUUAUCCAAGAGCUUAGAGGAAGCCAUAUGUGCUAUGGCGUGGGCUUACAGACCUCCAGGCCCAAACACUGCAGUCUUGGUUUGAGAGACAUUGCGCUAGACCAAGGCUUUCAGUGGGAUAGAGCAGAAGAUUCAGUAAGAGACCCUGUAUAAGAGAGGGCAGAACAAUGUACUCGAUGCUUUUUGGUAGAAACUUGAGACUUCUAUCUUUUUCCAGGUGACUGUGAAAAAGUUUCAAACUAAGCAUAUUGGUACAAAUCUGUGUUUCAAAAAGAAAAACGUCAGCAUCCUCUUUGGGACUGGAAUGAAGCCUGACAGGGACAGAUUAGGAAAUACAUUUUCUAAGUCAGAAGGAAUGACGUUCACAGUGGAGUCUUUACACAGCUAAUAAUGCAAACAUUACCUUUGUCCAUGUCUGUCUAGCUGGUACCCAAGCAAGCGCAAAGGUGAGCAGGACGAAGUCACUGGCAUAGCCAGAAACCCUUCCCAGGCUCCCUGUGAGCUAUUCACAUCGAGGGCUCAUGGAGGCCCCAUGGGUUCUCAACAUUCAUAUAACUGUUUUGUUUUGUUCUUUUAAUCAGAGACUAUUUUUACCUAUUUGGUUUAAUGUCUUCCUUUUAAAGUACUCAAUUUGGUGGGUGAUGGCUUACACCUUUAAUCCCAGCACUUGGGAGGCACAGGUAGGUGGAUCUCUGUGAGUUUGAGGCCAGCCUGGUCUACAGACCUAGUACUAAGACAGCUGUGGCUAUACAAAGAAAGCCUCUCUCAAAACAAACAAACAAACAAACAAACAAACAAACAAACUGUCUUAGUUAGGGUCUUACUGCUGUAAACAGACACCAUGACCAAGUCAACUCUUAUAAGAACAACAUUUAAUUGGGGCUGGCUUACAGGUUCAGAGGUUCAGUCCAUUAUCAUCAAGGUGGGAACAUGGCAAUGUCCAGGCAGACCUGGUACAGGAGGAGCUGAGAGUUCUACCUCUUCAUCUGAAGGCUGAUAAGAGAAGACUGGCUCUCACAUGGCUAGGAGGAGGGUCUUAUUGCCCAUGCCCACAGUGACACAUUUCCUUCAAGGCCAUACCCACUCCAACAAGCCACACAUCCUAAUAGCGCCACUCCUUGGCCAAGCAUAUUCAAACCACAUAAACAAACAAACAAACGUGCCCAAUGCCUUUAAUCGUAACUCUUGGGGACAGAAGCAGCUAGACCUGUGAGUCCAAGGUCAGCCUAGUCUGUACAGAGUUCCAGGCCAGCCAGUGCUACAAGGUGAAAACUUUAAUUAAAAUGGUAGAUGUAGUACAGAAUGCUUGGACCAAGGGGCCUCUCCCUUGGCACAUUAAUCUAGAUAUUAUCAGUAUAAAAAGUUAAGUGAUUAGUACAAAGACCUCCAGCAGACAAUGGGAGAAGAAUAAGGCCAUCAGCCCACUCUUCUCUGAGCCUCCAAUAUAGAUAAACUGAGUACAGAGAAAAAAGCAAACUUCAAAGUUAAGUCUGUUAGUGAACCUUUCAUGCCCACCACCUUUAAAACCACAUAUGCUAAAUCUCCAACUCUCUCAGCCCCAUUGUCUUACGGCUAAGUUCAAAUCUCUUAUUGUUGUUUUCUGUUUUAUUUUUUGUUUUAAACUCAUUUUUAAAAAAAUUAUGUAUAUAGGUGUUUUACCUACAUGUAUGUCUGUGUAGCACUUGUAUGCUGGGUGCCCAGAGGCCAGAAGAACGCACUGGAUUUCUGGAACUGAAGUUCCUGUGUGAACUCCCGCGCAAAUGAUAGGAAUAGAACCCAGGUCCUCUGGAAGAACAGACAGUGCUCUUAAGUGCUGAGUCACCUCUCUAGACCCCUUCUUUUGUUUUUCUGAGACAGGGUGUCAUUCUGGAGUCCAAGCUGACCUCAAACUUGUAGUGAUUCUCCUUUCUCAGCCUCCCAAGUUCCAAAAUACAGGCAUGAACUACCUACCACUUCUGAAUUAUCUCAUUUUGUUUUACUUACUGGUAUGUUCAAUGGUGAGGUUCUGUGCUGGGGAAUGAACCUGGGCCUUACUGUAUGCUAGCAAGCACUCUUCUACUGAGCCGUAUCUUUAGCUCUGGUUUCUGAUUCUUAUCCAGGACUUAAUACCCUGGUGACCUGAGGAGUCAGAUCCCAACUGUGCCCCAACAUGUUGCAGCCUGACAAGGGAGACCUUGGAGAAGCAAAAUAUAGGAAAUCAAUCCAACUCAAAAUUAUCCUGAACCACACACUGUGCUUGAAAUAAUGCUGACUAUAAACUCAGCAGAUUUUUUUAAAAGGGGGAGAUAGAGUUUAUUUAGCUUAUAAUUCCAGGACAUGGUCCAUUAUUAUAGGAAUGUUAAAUCAGGAACUGAAAGCAACUACUUGUAUCUAAAGUCCAAGCAGCAAGAGCACGUGCAAGAUGCUACUUUGUGCUUGUCUUACUUUUCUUCGUUUUUAAGUAGUCCGGGAUUGCAAAACCAGGGAGCGGAGCUGCCCUUAGUGGGCACUGUUCUUCCUACAUUGAUUGUCAUAAUCAAAAUUAUCCCCCACAACCCUGACCACAGGCCAACCUGAUCUGGACAAACUCUCAUUGGGAUGCUUCCCAGGCUGUGUCUAAUUUUUUGUUUUGUUUUGUUUUUGUUUUCGAGACAGGGUUUCUCUUUGUAGCCCUGGCUGUCCUGGCACUCACUUUGUAGACCAGGUUGGCCUCGAACUCAGAAAUCUGCCUGCCUCUGCCUCCCGAGUGCUGGGAUUAAAGGUGUGCGCCACCACGCCUGGCUAGGCUGUGUCUAAUUGACAGUGAUAACUGUCACACUCACUAUGUCAUUUUUUUUUGAAUUCUGACUAAUUGGUGUCAACCUGAUGUUACACCUGCCCCUGGCCCCUUCCCAUCUUUUCUCAGCCACCAUGAGGAAAACAGAUUUUACAUACCCUCUCUGCUAUGAUCAUCUGCCUCACUGUAGGCCCAAAGCAAUGGGUGAUAUUGAGAGAAAGGCAGCUAGUUACCUUUUCAUCAAGGGAGAGAAAUCCCAGGAAAUGGAAAUUAAGUGUUUUAGGUUCAGUUUGGAGGAUGUACUACCUUUCACAAUAAAAAGUGGCCUUGAGGGCUUGGAGAGAUGGCUCAGAGGUUAAGAGAACCGACUGCUCUUCCAGAGGUCCUGAGUUCAAUUCCCAGCAACCACAUGGUGGCUCACAACCAUCUGUGAUAAGAUCUGAUGCUCUCUUCUGGUGUCUUUGAAGAAAGCUACAGUGUACUCACAUAAAUAAAGUAAAUAAAUCUUUAAAAAAAAAAAAGUGGCCUUGAAGGCAACAUAUACAUUAGCAAAGCCACAACCUACGUCGCAGAAACUAGGUUAUAGAAGCAUUCCUUAGUCCCAUAUAGAGAAAGUCAGAUCUUGAUUAUCUCUAAAACAAUGAUCCAUUUGGUCCAGUUACCCAGAGCAUUGGGACCACCAAUCAGAGACGGCCAUAAAGUAACAAGGAAAUGUGAUCAGUGCCUUUCCAGCAUGUCAAAUGGCAUGCGGCCUCAGCGGGUCACCACUGCAUCUCCAUGCAGGAGGCAGGAAAGGGUGCUGCUGCUGUGGGUCAUGGGUUGUCUGCUGGCAUCACCAUCACUGUGCUCCAGGACUGGGAUGGGAAGAGUCCAACAUAGGGAACUUGGCAAGAGUCAGAAGAAUAAGCUAGAUCCAAAAUAAAAGCUGAAGUAGUUUUAUAUUACUCAUGUUGUGUUGUCUUAGCAAGAUUCACCCUCUUUCUAGCCUCUUUUUGCACAUUUCUCUCAAGAAAAAUGGAUUUUUUUUAAGAUCUAAAAAUUACCAUUGUACAAUUUUUGAAAACAACAACAAUGUGGGGGAGGGGGGAAUCAUUUAUUUUCUUUUCGAUGCAAAAGCAAGAGGCUUAUUUUCCAGCACGUUUGGGUUGACCUUCAAUUAGUCCCUCAAGGCAAGUGACUAGAAGGGCCCCUGCCCCUCCCCAUUCGUUUCAAAUACAUAAUAAUUAGUAAGCUAUCAAAUCUUUGGGGGAAAUUGCUCCCCUGGCUCCACUUGCUCACUCCCAUUCUUGGGGAGUGUCCCUUAAUAAACCAUGAGAAGGCUCAGUGGCUCAGUGGGAAGAGGAAACUUAGCACCAUGCCAGCUGGAUCCCAGGGACUCUCACAGCAGAAGGAGAGGACUAUCCUGAGCUUGUCUGUCAUACAUGAACCCAUGCACAUACAAACAGCCCAUAUACAAAAAUGUAAAGUACAUUUUAAAUGAGACCUAGUGAAGAAAAUUAAAAGAUAAACAAAUGGAAAAAAAAUCCUGGAAGCAAGGUAAAUCAGAAUUCAAUGUUUAAAGAGGUCAAAUAAGAAGCUAAACUGAAGUAGUCUCUGCCUGCUGGGUUCCUAAGAGCUGAGAAUGGGGGUAUUAAGCGGGCUUUAUUUCAACAAAACACAUUUUGUCAUCUGAUCCGUCCGUGACAUGGGUAAGAAUAAGUAACUUAUGGCUGUAUUCUUAAAUGGUAGAAAAUCCCUGGAUGUGUGCUUCAUUCACUUUACAAUGGCAAGUUAUUAAACACAGAUCUAUUUUCAUAAAAGAAUCCAUCUAUAACCUUAUUUUAAA